This 851-nucleotide unclassified non-coding RNA is filed under the name Hevea brasiliensis (rubber tree). The record is from RNAcentral. Lineage: Eukaryota; Viridiplantae; Streptophyta; Magnoliopsida; Malpighiales; Euphorbiaceae.
GCAUCAUCCUUUUUGUGCUCAACGCCGGUUAUUUACCAUUUACCGAUGCAAAUCUAAUGGCGAUGUAUCGGAAAAUCUACAAAGGCGAAUUCCGUUGCCCUAAAUGGACCUCACACGGAUUGAAACUGUUGCUUACUCGACUCCUCGACACGAAUCCCGACACUCGAAUCUCCAUUGAACAAAUCAGAAACGAUCCGUGGUUUCGGAAAGGUUACAAAGAGGUGAAAUCGCAUUUCGGUGAUGAAUUUGAGUUGAAAAGUAGCUCCGAUUUGAAUCGCGACGGCAAGUUUCUAAAUGCAUUUCAUAUAAUCUCGUUAUCCUCAGGUGUUAAUCUGUCUGGAUUGUUGAAAUCUCUAGGAGGGAAAGAGACAGUGGAUGUUGAAAGAUUUGUUUCAGCAUCGUCAGCGGAGAGAAUAACACAGAGGAUUGAAGAGAUUGCAAAGGCUGAAGGGAUGAGAGUCACCGGUAAAAAUGGCGCCGGUGUAAGAGUUGAGGGGCAAAAUGGGAAAUUUGUUUUAGCGACAGAGAUUAACCGGUUAACGGAGAAAGUGGUAAUAGUAGAAGUUAAACGAAAGGAGAUAGGAGCUGGAGCUGAUGGAGAAAUAUGGAAACUCAAAUUCAAGCCGCAGUUAAGUGAAUUCUUUUUGUGAAUUCUUUCAUAGUUCGCGUUCUCUAUCGUAGAAUUCAGACAUUAUGCUAUUCGUUAUUUUCUAGAUAGCAUAAGAAACAGAGAUUUCGAAAUCUCUUGACCUGCAUUUUCUAGAUACAGGUUCACUUAUUCGGUGAGAAACGGAGAUGAUUCUAGUUAUUGAAUAGCUCGAGGAAUGUGGAUCGAAGUGAGAUGAUAUUCG